RNAcentral lists this ribosomal RNA (403 nucleotides) under Verrucomicrobiota bacterium. RNAcentral's name for it is "Verrucomicrobia bacterium partial 16S ribosomal RNA". It matches the Rfam family "Bacterial small subunit ribosomal RNA", at positions 355 to 776 of the family's 1533-position model. Lineage: Bacteria; Pseudomonadati; Verrucomicrobiota. The record is from RNAcentral.
UGGGGAAUAUUGCACAAUGGGGGAAACCCUGAUGCAGCGACGCCGCGUGAGCGAAGAAGGCUUUCGAGUCGUAAAGCUCUGUCCUAUGAGAAGAUAAUGACGGUAUCAUAGGAGGAAGCCCUGGCUAAAUACGUGCCAGCAGCCGCGGUAAUACGUAUGGGGCGAGCGUUGUCCGGAAUCACUGGGCGUAAAGGGUUCGCAGGCGGAAAUGCAAGUCAGGUGUAAAAGGCAGUAGCUUAACUACUGUAAGCAUUUGAAACUGCAUAUCUUGAGAAGAGUAGAGGUAAGUGGAAUUUUUAGUGUAGCGGUGAAAUGCGUAGAUAUUAAAAAGAAUACCGGUGGCGAAGGCGACUUACUGGGCUCAUUCUGACGCUGAGGAACGAAAGCGUGGGUAGCAAACAGG